This 1327-nucleotide long non-coding RNA is filed under the name Homo sapiens (human). Its description in RNAcentral is "long non-coding RNA NONHSAT184963.1". The record is from RNAcentral. Lineage: Eukaryota; Metazoa; Chordata; Mammalia; Primates; Hominidae.
GCACUGGGGGCCGGAUGUAGAAUCCUGCUUAUCUGUGAAAUGCAGUUAACACAUCAGCUGGACCUAUUUCCCGAAUGCAGGGUAACCCUUCUGUUAUUUAAAGAUGUAAAAAAUGCGGGAGACUUGAGAAGAAAGGCCAUGGAAGGCACCAUCGAUGGAUCACUGAUAAAUCCUACAGUGUUUCACUCUUGUUGCCCAGGCUGGAGUGCAAUGGCGCGAUCUUGGCUCACGGCAACCUCUGCCUCCCGGGUUCAAGCAAUUGUCCUGCCUCAGCCUCCUGAGUUGCUGGGAUUACAGAUUGUUGAUCCAUUUCAGAUACUUGUGGCAGCAAACAAAGCAGUUCACCUCUACAAACUGGGAAAAAUGAAGACAAGAACUCUAUCUACUGAAAUUAUUUUCAACCUUUCCCCAAAUAACAAUAUUUCAGAGGCUUUGAAAAAAUUUGGUAUCUCAGCAAAUGACACUUCAAUUCUAAUUGUUUACAUUGAAGAGGGAGAAAAACAAAUAAAUCAAGAAUACCUAAUAUCUCAAGUAGAAGGUCAUCAGGUUUCUCUGAAAAAUCUUCCUGAAAUAAUGAAUAUUACAGAAGUCAAAAAGGUUUGCCAGUCCAUAUUUUUAGAAAGAGUGUGAUAGAUGAGCAAUAAUGCUGAUGCCGUUUGCCUAUUGAUCACCAGAGCUCCUUGUUUUUUGAACUUUUGAGAAAGUUAAUCUAAUUUUAAAAAUUACUUAAAAAUUACAGAUACAAAGAACUGGGAGGUGUGAUGGUUUAUGUAAAAUAUAAUUACAAACUCAGCUGACAUAACCAUUCUCCACAUUAAGAAAGAGAAUACCUUUAAAUAUCAAACUUACAUAGUAUAUUUAAAAUGUAAAAUAAAUUUAGUAUGCUUUUAAAAUGGAUAGAAAUUUGGUUUUUAUGUUCUUGAGAGUUACUCCCAUAGCAGCAAUUUAAAGGGGAUACAAGUAAUGAAUUGCCCUCUACUUUGAAUAUUUUAAUCACAUUUGUUGUUUGUUAUACCAUGAACCCAAUAAUUGAAUGAGGAAUAAUUUCACUUACACAUGUUUGUAUAAUGACAAUUAGUAGUGAAUGACGAUAUCAGCAAGUCAUAAUUUGUCUUUCAUUUUUACAGAUAUAUAAACUCUCUUCACAAGAAGAAAGUAUUGGGACAUUAUUGGAUGCUAUCAUUUGUAGAAUGUCAACAAAAGAUGUUUUAUGAAAUGUCAGAAAUAUUAACAAAAAUUCUCAGCAUUAAAGAAAACAUUGAUUUUCCUUUCCUGACUAUAAAACUAAUUGUGCAUUAUAGAAAAGUUUAAAUCACAGAAUGGUAUU